UAAGCCAAAACAAUCGAUUGAGCAACACAUGAAAUAAUACAUCAAAACUAUCGAUUAGAUGGACACAUUGUGCUCUGUAAACUCCUCUGGCUGCUUGUGGUUACUUUUCAAAUGUCAAAACUCCCAAUUGAUUGAACGCAUAUGAAUUUCUCCAACUUAUUUGGGCUCCUUCAAGUUCAGAUUCAUAUAUAAUCUACGAUUGCGACAAUUUGAAAAGUCUGUUUCAUGUCAAUGUAGCUCGAGAUCUUCAGCAGCUGAAAAAAUUAGAUAUUGCACGUUGUGAAAAGUUGGAGCAAAUCAUCUUUCAAGAUGAUGAAGAAGAGGAACAGCAUCAGCAAGCGGCGUGCUUCUCAAAUCUCUUAGAGAUAACUAUCUACGAUUGCGACAAUUUGAAAAGUCUGUUUCAUGUCAAUGUAGCUCGAGAUCUUCAGCAGCUGAAAAAAUUAGAUAUUGCACGUUGUGAAAAGUUGGAGCAAAUCAUCUUUCAAGAUGAUGAAGAAGAGGAACAGCAUCAGCAAGCGGCGUGCUUCUCAAAUCUCUUAGAGAUAACUAUCUACGAUUGCGACAAUUUGAAAAGUCUGUUUCAUGUCAAUGUAGCUCGAGAUCUUCAGCAGCUGAAAAAAUUAGAUAUUGCACGUUGUGAAAAGUUGGAGCAAAUCAUCUUUCAAGAUGAUGAAGAAGAGGAACAGCAUCAGCAAGCGGCGUGCUUCUCAAAUCUCUUAGAGAUAACUAUCUACGAUUGCGACAAUUUGAAAAGUCUGUUUCAUGUCAAUGUAGCUCGAGAUCUUUAGCAGCUGAAAGAAUUAAGUAUUGACGAUUGUGAAAAGUUGGAGCAAAUCUUUGUUGGAGAUAAUGCUGUCGAAGAGUGCAAAGAAAUUGUGCUGCCUGGUGUCUGGCUAUUGAAUCUUCUAAAUUUACCAAAACUCGUUCACUUGUGCCCAGUGGGUUGUCACUUGAUACUUCCAUCAUUAACCCAUUUGUGGGUGACAAUUUGCCCAAGAAUUGCAGCAAGAUUUUCAGUUGACCAAAAUGGAUCACUGCAUGUCAAAUCAGAGGUACUCACAUUACUUUUUUUUUAAAUAUCUUCACGAGGUUUGGUAUAAUUAUAUUUAGAUAUAAUUAUAAAUAUCGUAACUUUACCACUCAAUAAUUUUCUUUCCUCGUGUCCGUGUACAUGUUAUCUUCUUGGUUAUGAUCAUACACUGCACAGAUUGGUUGUAAAACCAUGCUUAAUUUGCUUGCCCAGUUAUGGAUUUGGUUGAUGAUAGCUUGCCAUUGAUACUGUUGGUUGUGCAGGCACGACAAAUAGAUGAAACAAACUUUGCCAUGGAGAUUGAUUGCUCGUCAACUGAUCAGAUACGACAAUUGACCUCCAGAUAAGUCAGAAUGAUAGAAGAUGAAGCAUAGAAAUUCUCACCCGUCAAUAUCAAAUGAAUAAAAGGAAAAGGAGCAGGUAUUAUGCUUAUGAGUCUCCAGUCCACUCUUCACUUCAGCAUGUGUUGCCUUGCCGUGUACAUAUCGAUUGAGGCUUUUCUUCUUUUUCAUUCUGUGCUCUUAAUUGCAUGUUAAGUAUCCGUACUGUAAUCAUGAAGACAAUUCUUAGGUUCUUUAAACAUAAAAUGUCGUAAACUUUGAAGAUACGGAUUGUUAAUCUCAAAGCCUAUGUACAUAUAAAACCUAUAGAAAACUUAACCUGAAAAAUAUCGACUGUGAAGGUUCUUUUCGUUGCAGUUUAUGAAGAACAAAUGAACAGUAAUAAAACUCCCCAUUACCUGUUGCAAAGCACAUGUAUUAUGGGAAGAAAAAAUGAUUGUUUUAUUAAUUCUUUCAAUACACCAAUAAGGGAAUGAAUGAACAUACAUGAAUAUAAGCCAAAACAAUCGAUUGAGCAACACAUGAAAUAAUACAUCAAAACUAUCGAUUAGAUGGACACAUUGUGCUCUGUAAACUCCUCUGGCUGCUUGUGGUUACUUUUCAAAUGUCAAAACUCCCAAUUGAUUGAACGCAUAUGAAUUUCUCCAACUUAUUUGGGCUCCUUCAAGUUCAGAUUCAUAUAUACUCAGUCAUCCCAACAGCAGCACGAUUGCCACUUGAAUGUUGAAACUAUGUGGCAUUCUUCAUUUCCAUUCCUCCUGCAAGGAUUGAUGAAAUGACCGAAUGCAUCAAGAAAAACCACUGUGGCAAACUUGAUACAAAAAUGGUGUAGACAUGCCAAAGCGCAAGCUUGAAAGGGGAUUAACUACUCCAUGGGCACCCACCAAUAUAUCAGCUAAAACCAUUUGCAUGACCUUGGUUUUGUCUCCAACGUUUCUUUUUACCACUCUUCUCCUUCUUUGAGCCACCUUCUCCACGGCUUUUCGACUCCCCAGUUUCUUCCGUCUUCUUCUUACUAGUCUUCUCUUUAGAAAAAGCUUUCCUCUUUUUACCAGAAGACUGCACACUACCAUUUCCACGGGGAAAUGACUCUUCUUCAUAAUCUGACUGCCAAUUGCACAUAAUGUCCCGCUGAUCUCCAAAGUGUGUUUGUAAUGGCUCCCCUGCUCCAGGAAGUAAGUUGUUAAAAGUUAUCUCACCAUUAGAUCCUCCUUUGCGCUCCAGCAAGACUGGGUCUGGCCUAAUUAUUGUACCAAGAAUGCUUCUGUUUGGCCCUAGGCUCAAGAUGGUCUUUGGAUUUGUCAAGGUUGUAAAUGCCAUUGCAAAAGCUGAUUUAAUCUGCAAAAGAGAAGAAAC
Molecule: long non-coding RNA, 2730 nt
Filed under: Citrus sinensis (sweet orange)
Lineage: Eukaryota; Viridiplantae; Streptophyta; Magnoliopsida; Sapindales; Rutaceae
Description: long non-coding RNA (CSIN_LNC000095)
Source: RNAcentral